This 3622-nucleotide long non-coding RNA is filed under the name Sus scrofa (pig). RNAcentral describes it as "lncRNA (ENSSSCG00000048633.2)". Lineage: Eukaryota; Metazoa; Chordata; Mammalia; Artiodactyla; Suidae. The record is from RNAcentral.
GAAAGCUCUCGGCUGUUUUCAGUUUUCCUUCCCUGUAAGUCACCCACUCUCCCUACUGGCCGGCAUCUGAGGUCGCCCCGCUACGCAGAGCUGGUUACCCAACCUCUGGCGACGACAGACAGGCCCAGAGCCUCUGGAGUUCAUCUGUACCACUGACAAGCCCAGGAUUUAUUUCCCUUUGCUCUAAUAAAGCUUGUUUCCUUCCUCAACACGAUACCGUUUCUUUUUGUAAUGGAAAGGGCUCGCAUUGCUGUUCCUCACCCACUGAAACCGCAAACGAUCACAUGGCUUACUCUGGUUCAUUCAGCAAACGGGUAUUAUUGUCACCAGGGGCUAGUCUUUCUGUUUUUUUUUUUUUUUUUUAGAACCCAACUCAAGAAAAAGCUAAAUAUAGUCGGUUAUCAGUAAGAAGCAAAUAGGAAUCAAAGUCCAGGAAUUUCUGCUUCUUAGUUCUACGAUCAGCACCUGCCCAAACUAGGAACAUUUUUCAAUACUGUUGCUGUAUGUUGACACCAUGAGUUUUUUUUUUUUUCCCUCUCACAGAAGCUUUCAGCAGCAAACGGCUUUCCUUCUAGAGGACUCUACAUUAAAUCGGGGCAAAUAUCAGGGCAAACUAAAUUCCUCCCUCAUCACUUCCCUGGGUUGGUGACCUACACAGAAGAGCAGAGCAGUAACUGGACCAGCCAGAUCCAGCCCAGCUGAGCCCACGCACAGGAAGCGUGGGCUGUGAAGUGGCCACACCCCCAGCCGCUGCUCCAGAAGGCUCUCCCCGCACAGGCCUAGCCUCACAAGCGUGUGAGUUGGGAACACGCCACCGAGGGAGGCGGAGAGGCCGCGGACCACUUCUCCUGCAGCAGCAAGGCGCUUCCGGUGAUGUGCACGGCAAGGCGUCCCUGAAGCCAACAGCCCAUUACAGGGAGAGUUAACCCAUAAAGCGGGAUGGAUCACAAGAAGGAGCUCCAGUCCCAUUUGGUUUAAACAAACAGCUCGGAGUCACAGAAAGCACCAGGUUUGCAUCUGAGAGCUGUGUUCACGCCCGCUUCUUUCACAAGAUGCUGAUGGGUACGCGAUGAGCCCACUCUACCUGGGCUAUAGUUUGAUCCGCUCAGUGUUCAUAACCUGGGGGAUGAGAAAACACCUCCCAGAUCCACCAAGGGAAACGGUACCACUGCAUUAAAUAGGCAAGAAGUUCAGGAUAAGCAUACUUUAGGGCUUUACACAAUGGAAUGACGCUGCUGCACGACAGACAACAAAACACAUAACGUGCAUGUAUGAAUAUGAUGGAUGCGUUCUUUGCAUUCGCAGCAAGAAAGUGGAAACAACUUAAGCUUCUUUUCUUGUGUCCUGAAGUAAAAUUCAUGAAGAACUUCUCCAAACAUUCCUCACCAAAACCCUCUCACACUUACAAAGAGGUUCUAAAACUAGAGGUGAAGCAAAACUCUCUAGAGCUGUGGCUCAGACACUUGAGCAUCACUUCAGAGUCAUUUCAAAUACUCAGGAGAUUUGUAUACACAUUAAUGUUUGAGAAGCACCGGCCUAUAGCACUUUUUCAAUUAAGCUUUUCCUUUUUUUUCUGUAAAAAAAAAUUUUUUUUUUAACUGAGGUAUAGGUUUGUUUUGUUUUUAUGGCCCCACCUGCAGCAUAUGGAAGUUCCCAGUCCAGGGGUCGAAUUGGAGCUGCAGCUGAGGCCUAUGCUGAAGCUUGUGGCAACACCAGAUCCUUAACCCACGGAGCGAGGCCAGGGAUCAACCCUCCAUCCUCACGGAAACAAUGUCGGGGUCUUAGCCCAAGGAGCCGCAACGGGAACUCCUCGAGUAAGCUUUAAUUACAUACAAGAGCUAGACUCUGAAUGAACUCCAUGUUACAGUUCAUUAGAACAGGGUGGAGGCUGCUUUGUCAGAUACGAGGAGGCUUUCCUUCAUCUGUGGCUUGACGCUACCUAAGCAACCAUCGCCAGUGUCGGGGUUUAGCACACCACACGCACUGAAGGCAAAGGGUACGGGGAUGUUCUCAGGUCGUCAGCAUUAAUGUCUCAACAGGACUUACUUAAGAAACUAGUCCUCAAAGUCAGAACUUCUAAAUUUUGUCGUCAGUGCUUCUCAAGCUUUGGCAGGCCUGAGAAUCACCAGGGGAAUUUGUUUUAAAAGGAAGAUAGUAAGGUCUCACCACCCAGGAGUCCUAUUAGGUUCAUCAGGAGUGAUUCUAGCAAUUCUAAGAAACGUGACAUCGGGGCUGGGAUUAGAAGGCACCCAGGGCACAUUUAGGGAAGUACUUACCCUCAGGUGCAAGCAAAUGCAAGACUGCCACCUGAGCAAACCUGACUGUAUGUGCCUCCUUAAAUGUCACAUUCAGGGCAUCUCGCUGGACUCAUCCUGGUCUUGGGCUUGUAUUGGGUGAGUCCAUGGACCAGCAGCACCAGCACAGUCUGGAGCCUUUUUAGAAAUACAGAAUCGUGGCCUAACUCCAGGACCACUGAAUCAGAAUCUGCAGGUUAACAAGAUUCUCAAGUUACUCUUUCAUUAAUUUUUUUUAGGGCCGCACCCGUGGCACAUGGAGGUUCCCAGGCUAGGGUCCAAUCGGAGCUACAGCUGCUGGCCUACGCCACAGCCACAGCAACGCGGGAUCCUCAACCCACUGAGUGAGGCCAGGGAUCAAACCCACGUCCUCAUGGAUGCUAGUCAGCUUCAUUACCGCUAAGCCAUGACGGGAAAUCCUCUCAGGUUAUUUCUUGUGCACACUGAAGUUUGAGAAACACUGAAAACAAGGGGAUGCCCAAACAAAGUCUUGCAACUGACACGAAAAUGCUAAGCUCUUUGUAACACAACAUGAUACAGGAACGUGAGCAGCGGCUGCCCACUGAGCUCAAAGGACAGCCCUACACUGACCAGCAGUUUUGUCGCUCUCUCUUAACCCCUGGCCUGAAUAACGACAUGAAAGAGAUGCUUGUUAAUCUGCAGGUGGAAUAAAACAAGAGGCUGCUGGUGCAAAAAGAAAGAACCAGGCCAUCUUGACAGGCCGGAGGACAGGUCGCACGCUGAACUAUAAUAAGUGUAGGAAAAAUUUUACACUUAAGCUAAAAAUUUCAAUAAUGAAUGUAUAUAAGAUGUGUGACAGUUUGCCUGGCAGCAAAACCUAUGAAAGAUCCUGGGAAUAAGUCCGGAAGUAAAUCAUGCAUUUAAUAUAAUGGCAUUUCACAUCAGUGGGAGAAAAUGAAUAAUUUAAUAAAUGGUGUUGGAAUAAUCGGGUAGCUAACCGGGAAAAAAAAUGAAAGUGUACCUCCACCCGCACGUCUUACAGCAAAAUGAAUUCCCGAAGGAUCGAAGAGUUAAACAUAAAAGCAAAUCUAUUACAGUAUGAGAAGAAAAUAUGAGGAAAACUUUCAAAAAAUAACCUCAGAGUGGGUGAGGCCUCUCUAAGCAAGAACAACAUCCGAAUGAUAUAAACAAAACCCAGAGGCUCUUUUUUAAAAGUGGAGACCUUUGACUGUAUCAAGAAAAGCACCUGCUGAGAACUAUGUCUAGAUACUCAUGCUGCAACAGAACGAAGGGUGGGGAAAAAAAAAUGUAAUGUAUACAUGUAAGGAUAACUUGAUCCCCUUGCUGUACAGUGGGAAAAUAAAAUU